UAAUUAUAGAUUAAUAAUGGAAGGUUGCCUCUACAUAUGCAGUGUAACUUACAAUUAAAGCAUCACAACCAAGAGGUUGAUGAUAUUUUGCUGCCAAAACACCAAGGGAACAAAGUCUAACUUUAGAUUGAUUUGUUGUCCCAGGCAGGCGGCUACUACCUUGAGCAAUCAGGGCGAGGCGAUACCGCGAGAAGGUAAUGUUGUGAUUUAUGAACUCUGGCAAUCACGUUAGCAAUGGUGCCAGGGCGAUGAAACUAGCUGACAAGCUAGCAUCAAGUCAGUUUCAGCACGCCCCACAAGUCGGAUCCCACCUUCAGAGCCCACCUUCGUCAUCGUCUUCCUCCAGCGAUCGGCACUUGGACAUCACCUUCCUCCAAUAGUUGCAAGUGCCCCAGUUUCCUCUGUUGACUCUCCUCGACUGUUAUCGGCUCCGUCAAGCAAUCACACCACCUCCAGUAAGUAAUAUGUGCAUCAAAUUAUCUCCAGCAUGUAUCACCUGCACCAAUUUAGAUAAUUUGCACGGUUCCUGUAUAUGGCAUUGAUGAAUUCGUUACUAAUCAUGGAUCAAUGGAUUGGGUUGCUUACCAUGAUGAAACCAAUUGAGGAAGUACAGAAGAACAGACGGACAAGCAGAGAGCAAACUUCAAACAUCUGCGAGAUGCANNNNNNNNNNNNNNNNNNNNNNNNNNNNNNNNNNNNNNNNNNNNNNNNNNNNNNNNNNNNNNNNNNNNNNNNNNNNNNNNNNNNNNNNNNNNGUCCUUUUGCUAUUGUAAGUUAUUUCAAUUAUGUAAGCAAUUUCAGAAUUAUGUAUGACUUUUUACAUUACUUUUACAUGGUCAAAUUCUUUCAGUGGUGAGAAGGUAGGGAUCACUCUACGGGGAUAUAUUUUAGCAAAUAUGGUAAAUGGAAGUUUGGCACAAAAAACAAUCAUGACUGUCACUUCCAAUUUUAUUCAAGUAUCAAAGGUGAGAACUUUAAACUAUUUUUGCAAUACCCCAAAUCCAAUGUUUCUAAUCGUUUAUCGAUAACCAGGGUGAUUAUUGGACCCAAUAAAUGCAUGUACCUGCAAAAAUAAUUUACACAUGUCAAAACUUUAAAUUUUUGUUUUAAGAAAAACAAAUGUCCAAUUUUAUAUUUUAAACUAUAUGGUAUUCUACCUUACCUUACUGGCAGGACAUGACAAAAAUCAUGACCAUUUUAGCAUUGAUGGUACCAAUGACGAGGUAUUCUCAGCUAAGAAAGAAGGUUCUUUUUUUUAUGUUUGAACGGACAUGCACCAACAGCUUGGUGCUACAAUGCCACAUAUGCAUCUAUAAACACAAUUAGUUUUCUAUUAAAGUUUGCCUAGCAGGGAAAGUAUAUUAUUCACAUUCAACUUUUAGUGAGAAUGGAUUCAAAAUCUAAAGGAAAAAACGAAAAAUAAAAGGACAGAAUGCAAAAAUAAGAGAAAAGAAUCAACAGAAGACAAGAGGAUUAGGAAAGCACCUGGAAGGAACACAGGCUAGGACGACGCAUUAGCAAGUGCUAAACUACAAACUUAAUCCCCUUGGCUGCACUUAUACAAAUAUAUUCUAGAUAUUCUAUAUACUUGGAAGUAGUCUGCAUUAGCAUACAAUUGUGUUUACUUUAAGAGUCCAUGAGAACAUGGAUUUAACUUACUAUGUGUGCAUGCAGACUUAUCCAGUUUGGAGACACUGAAUGUUUAGUCGUUCUCAUCUUAACAUUUAAUUAUGCAAAUUAUAUUGAUAUUACACCAUCCUUUCUCAUAUGUACUUAUUUUUUAAUUUCACAAAGAAUUGAAAAAGGAGGCUUUUCUUUAUGGCGACAAUAGAAUCGAAAAAGAGGCAUAC
This 1850-nucleotide long non-coding RNA is filed under the name Triticum aestivum (bread wheat). RNAcentral describes it as "long non-coding RNA (TAES_LNC006917)". The record is from RNAcentral. Lineage: Eukaryota; Viridiplantae; Streptophyta; Magnoliopsida; Poales; Poaceae.